This 386-nucleotide ribosomal RNA is filed under the name Eunemobius carolinus. Its description in RNAcentral is "eukaryotic LSU rRNA". It matches the Rfam family "Eukaryotic large subunit ribosomal RNA", at positions 46 to 393 of the family's 3401-position model. The record is from RNAcentral. Lineage: Eukaryota; Metazoa; Arthropoda; Insecta; Orthoptera; Trigonidiidae.
AUAAGCGGAGGAAAAGAAACUAACUAGGAUUCCCUUAGUAGCUGCGAGCGAACCGGGAGAAGCCCAGCACCGAAUCCCGCUUGUUUGCGCUUGCGCAAGCAUGACGGGACCUGUGGUGUUAGGGAGCGUCCGUUACAGGUUGUUAACCCCUACGCCGUGGGAGCGCUAGAAGUCCUCUUGAAUGGGGCCACGGCCCACAGAGGGUGCUAGGCCCGUGCUGGCAACUCCAUUCGGCGUAGGCGGACGUCUCCUAAGAGUCGGGUAGCCUGAUAGCGCUACCUUAAGCGGGUGGUAAACUCCAUCUAAGGCUAAAUAUACCCACGAGACCGAUAGCGAACAAGUACCUUGAGGGAAAGUUGAAAAGAACUUUGAAGAGAGAGUUCAAU